This 61-nucleotide transfer RNA is filed under the name Tubulipora flabellaris. RNAcentral's name for it is "tRNA-Arg". The record is from RNAcentral. Lineage: Eukaryota; Metazoa; Bryozoa; Stenolaemata; Tubuliporida; Tubuliporidae.
ACUAUAUAAGCAUAAGCACAUGCAUUUGAUUUCGGCUCAAAAGAAUAUUUAUAAAAUGGUG